Molecule: transfer RNA, 74 nt
Filed under: termite gut metagenome
Description: tRNA-Gly
Rfam family: tRNA
About the family: Transfer RNA (tRNA) molecules are approximately 80 nucleotides in length. Their secondary structure includes four short double-helical elements and three loops (D, anti-codon, and T loops). Further hydrogen bonds mediate the characteristic L-shaped molecular structure. tRNAs have two regions of fundamental functional importance: the anti-codon, which is responsible for specific mRNA codon recognition, and the 3' end, to which the tRNAs corresponding amino acid is attached (by aminoacyl-tRNA synthetases). tRNAs cope with the degeneracy of the genetic code in two manners: having more than one tRNA (with a specific anti-codon) for a particular amino acid; and 'wobble' base-pairing, i.e. permitting non-standard base-pairing at the 3rd anti-codon position.
Source: RNAcentral
GCGGAAGUAGCUCAGUUGAUAGAGCAUUAGCUUUCCAAGCUGAGCGUGGAGGGUUUGAACCCCGUCUCCCGCUC